Molecule: non-coding RNA, 375 nt
Organism: Macaca mulatta (Rhesus monkey)
Lineage: Eukaryota; Metazoa; Chordata; Mammalia; Primates; Cercopithecidae
Source: RefSeq, a predicted model, not a curated record
AGGUGUCUCACCGUGUUGCCUGGGCUGGUCCUCAAGCAAUCCUCCUGCCUCAGCCUCUGAUUCACUGGUAUUAGGUUGUGAGUCACCACACCCAGCUCUACCUUUCAGCCCUUCUUACACAUGGCUCCAUUGGAGAGGCAGACACAGCUUUUCCCAGACCUUGGCCUGCACAAGUGUUAUAGGAUCUGUCGAGGGGUGACGAGGGUGAGGCGGAGCUGGAAGAGCCAGGGGGCAGAUUCACCACCUUCUCCUGCAGUCUCUGGUUGGUAUUUAUGUCCUCAUGCUUAAAAGUUCAUAUUCCCUGAAUCCCAGGGUUUUGCAUUCAUAGUAAGAACUGAAAUAUUUAUUUUAUUUUAUAUAUAUAAUUUUUUUUGA